CAUGGGUCUCUGGGGUGCCUUGCAACACGUGCAUUCUUGCAAGUGAGCAAAGAGAGCGGGGACCUCUUGUGAAGGGGCUACUAGGAAGCGAGUUGCCCGGUGUCUCCCCCGCUCUCCGUGCGGGCGUGAGUUGUAUCUGAUACCCUUUGACGGACUUAUCUCAUCCCUUUCGAAAACCGGCCAAGUUGGCAGUAUCUUGCGGUGGUCACGCCUUGCGUUUAAAAUACUGGGUUUCUCAGCUUUGGCAACUUUUAAGACGUGUGGACUUCAGCUCGCGGAAUUAAUGAGAUCCAUGUAUGCUGUGCCUUCCCAAUUCCAGUGGCAGAUUAAUCUGGAGAGGAUUUUAUCCACGUUAGAAUUUUGGAAGCAGAAAAUUAAGGACCACCUUCACCAGCCCUCCUGCCACUCUGAGAUUAGAUUGCUACAAAUGGGAUUGCUUUGAUGACGCCUUGGUUUUGAAGUGUCUUCCCAGAGUGGUUGAUGUCAUCUCUAUAUUCUAUUUGGCAGCAACCAACUUGUUCUUAGUUUGGUUUGGUUUUUAUUUCCCUGGGCAUAUUCCCAUCAUAACUAGGCUUUAUCCUGCUGCUAUUUUGCUAUUUUACUUUGUUCUAAAUUGGUUCAAAACAUUUUUUAUUUCUGGGUUUUAUUAACAGAAAAACAGAAAUAAUGAAGUAAUGUGUUUUUACUGUUAAUAGAAUAGAAACUGACUAGUCCUAAUAAAAUACUUUACAAGAUCAUUUCAUUUGACUUUUCUUAUGCAUCAAUAUAGGUAGAUGUCUGACAGUCAACUUCUAAACAAAUUGUUGUUUAGACAAUUUGAACCAAAGAAAACAAACAGAACCAGAUAACAUCCAUAAUACCAACAUUACAGGACAAUUUCAUGAUUCUUGGAAAUCUAUUUUUUCUAAUUUCUCACUGUGAGCUGCCACUUUUAAUUUCUUACUUACUCAUGACUCAGUCCAUAGGAUAUAAAGGUAUCUUGUUAUUCAGCCAUCAGAUAUCUUCUCUAUAUUCAAAUGGCACAAAGUCAUUUUGUUAUAGAUCAGAAAAAAAUAUAAAAGUUUGCCUUCUGUGCUGAUUUUAAAGCUGCUUCUGUGUUUUACAUAUUCCAGAAAAGA
Non-coding RNA from Notechis scutatus (mainland tiger snake), 1118 nucleotides. The record is from RefSeq and is a predicted model, not a curated record. Lineage: Eukaryota; Metazoa; Chordata; Lepidosauria; Squamata; Elapidae.